RNAcentral lists this ribosomal RNA (403 nucleotides) under Salmonella enterica. RNAcentral describes it as "partial 23S ribosomal RNA". It matches the Rfam family "Bacterial large subunit ribosomal RNA", at positions 117 to 561 of the family's 2925-position model. The record is from RNAcentral. Lineage: Bacteria; Pseudomonadati; Pseudomonadota; Gammaproteobacteria; Enterobacterales; Enterobacteriaceae. RNAcentral also lists the same sequence under 1 other name.
AUGGGGAAACCCAGUGUGACUCGUCACACUAUCAUUAACUGAAUCCAUAGGUUAAUGAGGCGAACCGGGGGAACUGAAACAUCUAAGUACCCCGAGGAAAAGAAAUCAACCGAGAUUCCCCCAGUAGCGGCGAGCGAACGGGGAGGAGCCCAGAGCCUGAAUCAGCAUGUGUGUUAGUGGAAGCGUCUGGAAAGGCGCGCGAUACAGGGUGACAGCCCCGUACACAAAAGCGCAUGUGCUGUGAGCUCGAUGAGUAGGGCGGGACACGUGGUAUCCUGUCUGAAUAUGGGGGGACCAUCCUCCAAGGCUAAAUACUCCUGACUGACCGAUAGUGAACCAGUACCGUGAGGGAAAGGCGAAAAGAACCCCGGCGAGGGGAGUGAAAAAGAACCUGAAACCGUGU